RNAcentral lists this ribosomal RNA (348 nucleotides) under Clostridioides difficile. Its description in RNAcentral is "bacterial LSU rRNA". It matches the Rfam family "Bacterial large subunit ribosomal RNA", at positions 2258 to 2605 of the family's 2925-position model. Lineage: Bacteria; Bacillati; Bacillota; Clostridia; Peptostreptococcales; Peptostreptococcaceae. The record is from RNAcentral.
CAGGUGGGCAGUUUGACUGGGGCGGUCGCCUCCCAAAAGGUAACGGAGGCGCUCAAAGGUUCUCUCAGUACGGUCGGAAAUCGUACGUAGAGUGUAAAGGCAAAAGGGAGCUUGAUUGCAAGACAUACAGGUCGAGCAAGGAUGAAAAUCGGACUUAGUGAUCCGGUGGUUCUGCGGGGAAGGGCCAUCGCUCAACGGAUAAAAGCUACCCUGGGGAUAACAGGCUUAUCUCCCCCAAGAGUCCACAUCGACGGGGAGGUUUGGCACCUCGAUGUCGGCUCAUCACAUCCUGGGGCUGUAGUAGGUCCCAAGGGUUGGGCUGUUCGCCCAUUAAAGUGGUACGCGAGC